CCCUCAGUGGUGGCCGAGUGGAGGAACCUGACGGAGCAGAACAGCCCCGACGGCGUCCCCAGGGUGCUGGUGGGGGGCACCCGCCUACGGGACCCCCCCCAAGCUGUUGGCGCUGCUGAAUUCCUCCGGGGUGGGGCUGGUGCUGGGACCCUUCCUGGAGGCGCUGGGGGCCGACCCCCCCGGUUCCGCUAUCGCCCCCCAACUGCUGGACUUCUUGCGCCCCCAAAUCCCCCUGGCCUGGAGUGUGAGUCACCCCAACCCCCCCUGCACCCCCAAAAUGCCCCCCCCGCACCCCUAAAUCCCCCCCUGCAGCCCCCCCCCCCAACUGUUGGGUCUCCUGCACCCCAAGCCCUGGGACCCCCCCAAAUCUCUCCAAACUCCCUUCUGCACCCUACAACCCCCCCCCAGGGACCCCCCUGAACCCCCGCCUUGUGCCCUCAACCCCCGCCUUUGCCCCCCACAUUGUCCCGGGGGGGGUCCAGGUGUCCAAGACUCACCCCCGACCCCCCCCCCAAAACCUACACAUCCCCCCCCCCCCCCCAUGACUCACAUGUCCCCAAGGCACCCAAAUAUUCACGGGGGGGGACGGAUGAUGACACUUAGCUAUGUGGGACCCCCCCCCCUUGCCUGACCCACACAUCCCCCCCCCUCCCAGAGCACCCAAGUAUCGGUGGGGGGGGACACCCACGUGUCCAGGACCCCCCGCAGGCACCCAAAUAUCCAAAGAAAGGGAUGACCCCCAAGUAUCGGUGACCCCCAUGAAACCCAGAUUGGCGGGGGGGGGGGGGGUUGAAAUAUGACAUCAUGACACCCCCCCCCCCCCCCGCAGGUGGGCUCCCCCCUGCAGCACCUGGGGGGGCUGAGCCCCCCCCGCGCCCCCCAGCGGCUGCUGCUGCUCUGGGGCCGCCCUCCCCGGGACCCCCGUCCUCAGUUACGGUGACGAGGUGGGGCUGGGAGACCCCCCCAGCGCCCCCCCGGGCCUGGAGCUGACCCCGAUGCCCUGGGACGUCAUCGAGGGGAUCGAGGAGGGCGACAACAGCACCGAGGCCCGCCUGCUGGAGCUGUGCCGUCACCUGGGUGCCCUGCGGGUGCGGGAGCGGUCAUUGUCGCUGGGGGAGGCAGAGGCCAUCCCCGCCGGCCAGGCGGCCGCUUUCCUGCGGAGCUGGGACCAGAGCGAGCGGUUCCUGGUGGUCCUGAAUCCCGGGAAUCAGCCCCUCCACCUGGCCCUGGAGGACGCCCGCCUGCCCCCCCAAGCCACCCUGCGCCUCAGCACCCACCGUCCGCUCCCCCAGGACCCUCAGGUCGAUCUGGGGAACUUCGAGCUACUGCCUUACGAGGGGCUGCUGCUCAGCUUCCCCUACACCCCAUAGCGCCCGCCCUGCCCCACGGCAUCUGUGGGGCAGGAGCAGGGUGCCCCCCCCACUUCUCCCCACCCCAGCACCCACAGGACAGGGUGACACCCACCCCCCCAGCACCCACAAGUGGAUCGAGCCCCCCCUCUCCCCCCCCAACACCCACAGAACAGGGGGACACCCCCCUCCCUACCCAGCACCCACAAGUGGAGGGGCCCCCAGCACCCAUCAGAGCCUGGGGGGCACCUACAGCACCUACAUGUGGCCUUACAGCCCCCCCCCCCGCCCCCCCCAGCACCCAGAAGCUGGGGGGGAUCCAAUACCCAAUCCCCCUCACCCAUUUUGGGCAGGGGGUCACUUCCCACCCCAUGCACCCCCCCCCAUUUUGCCUCCCCCCCCCGUUUUGGGGGUGCCCCCCCCCAUUCCCCUGGGUCUUUGGGGGGGGUUCCUUCUUCCCCUCCCACACACUCCAGUUUGGGGGGGUCCUUGGCAGUAUUGGGGUCCCCAGGGUGGGGGGGCCCCCCUUUGUCCCUGGGGGGGCUUUUGGUGAAUAAAUGAGCUGCAUUUGUGCCCCUGACUUUGCCUCCAUUUUUGGG
Aquila chrysaetos chrysaetos is the source of this 1948-nucleotide long non-coding RNA. NCBI's taxonomy places the organism in Eukaryota, Metazoa, Chordata, Aves, Accipitriformes, Accipitridae. The record is from Ensembl.